RNAcentral lists this ribosomal RNA (203 nucleotides) under Acanthurus lineatus (lined surgeonfish). RNAcentral's name for it is "partial 16S ribosomal RNA". Lineage: Eukaryota; Metazoa; Chordata; Actinopteri; Acanthuriformes; Acanthuridae. The record is from RNAcentral.
UGCCAAACAGCUAAUCCAUAAACCUAAAAACAACAAAUCCAUAUAAAUAACCCCAAAAUUUCUCAAUAAAAACCUAAACAAACCAUUUUUCCCCCUUAGUACAGGCGAUAGAAAAGGAUAUAAGGAAUGACAGAAAAAGUACCGCAAGGGAACGCUGAAAGAGAAAUGAAAUAACUCAGUUAAGCCUAUAAAAGCAGAGAAUA